GACGAACGCUGGCGGCAUGCCUAACACAUGCAAGUCGAACGAAGCCUUCGGGCUUAGUGGCGCACGGGUGCGUAACGCGUGGGAACCUGCCUUUAGGUUCGGAAUAACUCCCCGAAAGGGGUGCUAAUACCGAAUAAUGUCUUCGGACCAAAGAUUUAAUCGCCCAAGGAUGAGCCCGCGUAGGAUUAGGUAGUUGGUGG
This 200-nucleotide ribosomal RNA is filed under the name uncultured bacterium. Its description in RNAcentral is "partial 16S ribosomal RNA". It matches the Rfam family "Bacterial small subunit ribosomal RNA", at positions 28 to 255 of the family's 1533-position model. The record is from RNAcentral.